GCAUCCUCAAAAGCAGAAUUUGGACUAGUGACUCAGAAUUUAUUCUUUGCUUGUAUUCCUCUUAUCUUCUGGAACCACAGCUUUGUUCUUCCUUAUCCUUAUGUAUGCAUUCAGAAUCUUUUGUUCAACGGCUAGCAAGUUGCUUAAGGAAUAAAAGUUAACUUUCUUUAUCAGACCUUAAAUAUAGAAUAAACUUUUGAGUUAUUAAGCAGGAUAUCAAGUUAGAAGUCAUCUAUCUGCUGUUCUAUUGUUGAAGGUUCAGUAACAUUUUGUAUCUUUAAGCUUCUAACUGCUGUGAGAAAAAAAAAGACUCCAUCACAGAAAUGCCGAAUGUUAGCUUUCUAGAGUUCCAGUACAAGCUUUCAAGAAAUAAGCUUCUGCGAAGGCCAUCCCGAUUGUUCUCUUCCCGGGACAGACAAGGCUCUGGUGCUCUACCCUCUUUCCAGCCAAAUUUGAGCGAGUUGAGGCGGGUUUUCAAUAAAUUUGAUUCAAACAAAGACGGCAAAAUUUCUCAGCAGGAGUACAAGGCC
RNAcentral lists this unclassified non-coding RNA (530 nucleotides) under Hevea brasiliensis (rubber tree). The record is from RNAcentral. Lineage: Eukaryota; Viridiplantae; Streptophyta; Magnoliopsida; Malpighiales; Euphorbiaceae.